This 252-nucleotide ribosomal RNA is filed under the name uncultured bacterium. Its description in RNAcentral is "partial 16S ribosomal RNA". It matches the Rfam family "Bacterial small subunit ribosomal RNA", at positions 524 to 776 of the family's 1533-position model. The record is from RNAcentral.
UACGAAGGGGGCUAGCGUUGCUCGGAAUUACUGGGCGUAAAGGGAGCGUAGGCGGACAUUUAAGUCAGAGGUGAAAUCCCGGAGCUCAACUCCGGAACUGCCUUUGAUACUGGGUGUCUUGAGUGUGAGAGAGGUAUGUGAACUCCGAGUGUAGAGGUGAAAUUCGUAGAUAUUCGGAAGAACACCAGUGGCGAAGGCGACAUACUGGCUCAUUACUGACGCUGAGGCUCGAAAGCGUGGGGAGCAAACAGG